Molecule: ribosomal RNA, 1343 nt
Filed under: uncultured bacterium
Lineage: Bacteria
Description: 16S ribosomal RNA
Rfam family: Bacterial small subunit ribosomal RNA
Source: RNAcentral
GACGAACGCUGGCGGCGUGCUUAACACAUGCAAGUCGAACGGAAAGGCCCUGCUUUUGUGGGGUGCUCGAGUGGCGAACGGGUGAGUAACACGUGAGUAACCUGCCCUUGACUUUGGGAUAACUUCAGGAAACUGGGGCUAAUACCGGAUAGGAGCUCCUGCUGCAUGGUGGGGGUUGGAAAGUUUCGGCGGUUGGGGAUGGACUCGCGGCUUAUCAGCUUGUUGGUGGGGUAGUGGCUUACCAAGGCUUUGACGGGUAGCCGGCCUGAGAGGGUGACCGGCCACAUUGGGACUGAGAUACGGCCCAGACUCCUACGGGAGGCGGCAGUGGGGAAUAUUGCACAAUGGGCGGAAGCCUGAUGCAGCAACGCCGCGUGCGGGAUGACGGCCUUCGGGUUGUAAACCGCUUUCGCCUGUGACGAAGCGUGAGUGACGGUAAUGGGUAAAGAAGCACCGGCUAACUACGUGCCAGCAGCCGCGGUGAUACGUAGGGUGCGAGCGUUGUCCGGAUUUAUUGGGCGUAAAGGGCUCGUAGGUGGUUGAUCGCGUCGGAAGUGUAAUCUUGGGGCUUAACCCUGAGCGUGCUUUCGAUACGGGUUGACUUGAGGAAGGUAGGGGAGAAUGGAAUUCCUGGUGGAGCGGUGGAAUGCGCAGAUAUCAGGAGGAACACCAGUGGCGAAGGCGGUUCUCUGGGCCUUUCCUGACGCUGAGGAGCGAAAGCGUGGGGAGCGAACAGGCUUAGAUACCCUGGUAGUCCACGCUGUAAACGGUGGGUACUAGGUGUGGGGUCCAUUCCACGGGUUCCGUGCCGUAGCUAACGCUUUAAGUACCCCGCCUGGGGAGUACGGCCGCAAGGCUAAAACUCAAAGGAAUUGACGGGGCCCCGCACAAGCGGCGGAGCAUGCGGAUUAACUCGAUGCAACGCGUAGAACCUUACCUGGGUUUGACAUGGAUCGGGAGCGCUCAGAGAUGGGUGUGCCUCUUUUGGGGUCGGUUCACAGGUGGUGCAUGGCUGUCGUCAGCUCGUGUCGUGAGAUGUUGGGUUAAGUCCCGCAACGAGCGCAACCCUUGUUCACUGUUGCCAGCACGUUAUGGUGGGGACUCAGUGGAGACCGCCGGGGUCAACUCGGAGGAAGGUGGGGAUGACGUCAAGUCAUCAUGCCCCUUAUGUCCAGGGCUUCACGCAUGCUACAAUGGCUGGUACAGAGAGUGGCGAGCCUGUGAGGGUGAGCGAAUCUCGGAAAGCCGGUCUCAGUUCGGAUUGGGGUCUGCAACUCGACCUCAUGAAGUCGGAGUCGCUAGUAAUCGCAGAUCAGCAACGCUGCGGUGAAUACGUUCCCGGG